RNAcentral lists this ribosomal RNA (465 nucleotides) under uncultured bacterium. RNAcentral's name for it is "partial 16S ribosomal RNA". It matches the Rfam family "Bacterial small subunit ribosomal RNA", at positions 338 to 795 of the family's 1533-position model. The record is from RNAcentral.
CCUACGGGUGGCAGCAGUGGGGAAUAUUGCGCAAUGGGCGAAAGCCUGACGCAGCGACGCCGCGUGAGGGAUGAAGGUCUUCGGAUCGUAAACCUCUGUCAGCAGGGAAGAACGGUCACUGUGCUAAUCAGCAGUGAAUUGACGGUACCUGCAAAGGAAGCACCGGCUAACUCCGUGACAGCAGCCGCGGUAAUACGGAGGGUGCGCGAGUUAAUCGGAAUGACUGGGCGUAACGCGCGCGUAUGCGGUAUGUCAAGUCAAGGGUGAAAUCCCCGCGCUCAACGGGGGAACUGCCUUUGAAACUGGCAAACUUGAGUGUGUGAGAGGAUAGUGGAAUUCCAGGUGUAGGAGUGAAAUCCGUAGAUAUCUGGAGGAACAUCAGUGGCGAAGGCGACUAUCUGGCACAUAACUGACGCUGAGGAGCGAAAGCGUGGGUAGCAAACAGGAUUAGAUACCCGUGUAGUC